Long non-coding RNA from Lacerta agilis (Sand lizard), 622 nucleotides. RefSeq lists it as uncharacterized. The transcript is spliced from 4 exons. The record is from RefSeq and is a predicted model, not a curated record. Lineage: Eukaryota; Metazoa; Chordata; Lepidosauria; Squamata; Lacertidae.
UUGAGACAGGAACGGGCGAGUCGCCUCCACAGCGCAUCCCGGCAGGUGAAGCGGCAAAGGCGGCGGCAGGUCUGGCCCAGGCGGCCCAAGGCCCGCGCGUCCAGAGUCAGUUGAGCUAAAUAUUGGCAAAGCUACUUUCUUCAUACUGCUUCCUUGAAAUGGAUCUAUUACAUGCUACACCAUUUCUAGCUGAAAAACAAAACAUUCUUCAUCUGUCAGAUGAUCAUCAAAGAUGUACAAGAUGUUCAGAAUGUGAGAAGAAAAGGUCAUUAAUGAACACUCAGCUAACUUGGAUAUGUAUAUUGAAGCAGAGUAAUUAAAGAUUCAAAUACCAGGUGGAGAUACAUUUGCAUGAGAAGUAAUUUCCCACUCCAGUUAUUAUAAGAUCUUCACAGAAGAAAGAGUCUGCUUUACACCCUUCCAAGGUAUGCCUCUCAUCUCUCUGCCUCCUCUCCCUUGCACCAUCCCUCCCCACUCCACUUCAAACCCUGGGAAAAACCUCACUAAAGAGACUCGCCGACCAAGGGACCGUUUCGUUGCAUUGUGUUUUCCAGCUAGACCUGAACAGACUGAAAUCAAUGCAGCUCCCUCCAUCUACCCCCCUCCCUUGUGCUUUUUUUCC